UAACUUACCUGGCGGGGAAGUGGUCAUGAUCAUGAAGGUGGUUCUCCCAGGCAAAGCUAGCCCAUUGCCCUAUGUGUGCUGAGAGCCUGCAAUGUCCCCUAAAUACUCAUCUGCCCAAUUUGUGGUAAUAGGGGAUGGCAUUGUCAGUGAGCAGGUGCUGC
Molecule: small nuclear RNA, 161 nt
Organism: Rhincodon typus (whale shark)
Lineage: Eukaryota; Metazoa; Chordata; Chondrichthyes; Orectolobiformes; Rhincodontidae
Product: U1 spliceosomal RNA
Exons: 1
Source: RefSeq, a predicted model, not a curated record